RNAcentral lists this ribosomal RNA (424 nucleotides) under uncultured prokaryote. Its description in RNAcentral is "bacterial SSU rRNA". It matches the Rfam family "Bacterial small subunit ribosomal RNA", at positions 355 to 796 of the family's 1533-position model. The record is from RNAcentral.
UGGGGAAUCUUGGACAAUGGGGGCAACCCUGAUCCAGCCAUGCCGCGUGGGUGAAGAAGGCCUUAGGGUUGUAAAGCCCUUUCAGUCGUGACGAUGAUGACGGUAGCGACAGAAGAAGCCCCGGCUAACUCCGUGCCAGCAGCCGCGGUAAUACGGAGGGGGCAAGCGUUGUUCGGAUUUACUGGGCGUAAAGGGCGCGUAGGCGGAUUGGAAAGUUGGGGGUGAAAUCCCGGGGCUCAACCCCGGAACUGCCUCCAAAACUAUCAAUCUAGAGUUCGAGAGAGGUGAGUGGAAUUCCGAGUGUAGAGGUGAAAUUCGUAGAUAUUCGGAGGAACACCAGUGGCGAAGGCGGCUCACUGGCUCGAUACUGACGCUGAGGUGCGAAAGUGUGGGGAGCAAACAGGAUUAGAUACCCGCGUAGUCC